GAAAUGGAUUAGCGGCGAACGGGUGAGGAACACGUGAAGAAUCUGCCCUCCACUUUGGGAUAACACCGGGAAACCGGUGCUAAUACCGAAUAUUGAAACAUAAGUGGCAUCACUGAGUUUUGAAAGAAUUUCGGUGGAGGAUGACUUCGCGGCCUAUCAGCUAGUUGGUGAGGUAAUGGCUCACCAAGGCAACGACGGGUAGCCGGCCUGAGAGGGCGACCGGCCACACUGGGACUGAGACACGGCCCAGACUCCUACGGGAGGCAGCAGUGGGGAAUAUUGGGCAAUGGAGGAAACUCUGACCCAGCGACGCCGCGUGCGGGAUGAAGGCCUUCGGGUUGUAAACCGCUUUCAGUAGGGAAGAAGCGAAAGUGACGGUACCUACAAAAGAAGCACCGGCUAACUAUGUGCCAGCAGCCGCGGUAAUACAUAGGGUGCAAGCGUUGUCCGGAAUUAUUGGGCGUAAAGAGCUCGUAGGUCGUUUGUUACGUCGGAUGUGAAAACCUGAGGCUCAACCUCAGGCCUGCAUUCGAUACGGGCAAACUAGAGUUUGGUAGGGGAGACUGGAAUUCCUGGUGUAGCGGUGGAAUGCGCAGAUAUCAGGAGGAACACCAAUGGCGAAGGCAGGUCUCUGGGCCAAUACUGACACUGAGGAGCGAAAGUCUGGGGAGCGAACAGGAUUAGAUACCCUGGUAGUCCAGACCGUAAACGGUGGGCACUAGUUGUGGGAACCUUCCACGGUUUCUGCGACGCAGCUAACGCAUUAAGUGCCCCGCCUGGGGAGUACGAUCGCAAGAUUAAAACUCAAAGGAAUUGACGGGGCCCCGCACAAGCAGCGGAGCAUGCGGCUUAAUUCGACGCAACGCGAAGAACCUUACCAAGGCUUGACAUAUAGGGAAAAGUGGCAGAGAUGUCAUGUCCGCAAGG
Molecule: ribosomal RNA, 927 nt
Filed under: uncultured Actinomycetes bacterium
Lineage: Bacteria; Bacillati; Actinomycetota; Actinomycetes
Description: bacterial SSU rRNA
Rfam family: Bacterial small subunit ribosomal RNA
Source: RNAcentral